AGCAGCCGCGGUAAUUCCAGCUCCAAUAGCGUAUAUUAAAGUUGUUGCAGUUAAAAAGCUCGUAGUUGAAUUUCGGGAUCAUUAUGUUGGUCGUGCCUUGGUACGUACUGGCAUUAUUGAUUCCUACCUUCUGAAGAACUUCGAUGUCAUUAAUUUGGUGUCUUGGGGAAUCAGGACUGUUACUUUGAAAAAAUUAGAGUGUUUAAAGCAAGCUCACGCUUGAAUACAUUAGCAUGGAAUAAUGAAAUAGGACGUUUGAUUCUAUUUUGUUGGUUUCUAGGAUCGACGUAAUGAUUAAUAGGGAUAGUUGGGGGCAUUAGUAUUCAAUUGUCAGAGGUGAAAUUCUUGGAUUUAUUGAAGACUAACUACUGCGAAAGCAUUUGCCAAGGAUGUUUUCAUUAAUCAAGAACGAAAGUUAGGGGAUCGAAGACGAUCAGAUACCGUCGUAGUCUUAACCAUAAACUAUGCCGACUAGGGAUCGGAUGAUGUUAAUUUUUUAAUGACUCAUUCGGCGCCUUACG
Molecule: ribosomal RNA, 521 nt
Filed under: uncultured Glomeraceae
Lineage: Eukaryota; Fungi; Glomeromycota; Glomeromycetes; Glomerales; Glomeraceae
Description: SSU rRNA
Rfam family: Eukaryotic small subunit ribosomal RNA
Source: RNAcentral